AACGCGAAGAACCUUACCUGGGUUUGACAUGCACCAGACAUCCCUAGAGAUAGGGCUUCCCUUGUGGUUGGUGUGCAGGUGGUGCAUGGUUGUCGUCAGCUCGUGUCGUGAGAUGUUGGGUUAAGUCCCGCAACGAGCGCAACCCUUGUUCCAUGUUGCCAGCGGGUAAUGCCGGGGACUCAUGGGAGACUGCCGGGGUCAACUCGGAGGAAGGUGGGGAUGACGUCAAAUCAUCAUGCCCCUUAUGUCCAGGGCUUCACACAUGCUACAAUGGCCAGUACAGAGGGCUGCGAGACCGUGAGGUGGAGCGAAUCUCUUAAAGCUGGUCUCAGUUCGGAUUGGGGUCUGCAACUCGACCCCAUGAAGUUGGAGUCGCUAGUAAUCGCAGAUCAGCAACGCUGCGGUGAAUACGUUCCCGGGCCUUGUACACACCG
This 434-nucleotide ribosomal RNA is filed under the name uncultured bacterium. RNAcentral's name for it is "bacterial SSU rRNA". It matches the Rfam family "Bacterial small subunit ribosomal RNA", at positions 958 to 1392 of the family's 1533-position model. The record is from RNAcentral.